UAAAAAAAUAUUAGAUUUGUCAAAAUGUAUAUUUAUUAAAUAACUGCUAAAAAUAUUCAUGAUUAUUAUUGAAAAAUGUUGACAAUUGGUUUGAGUCACUGAUAAUUAAAGUUGUAGCUUUAAAGAGCACAAUUAAUUGCAGUUACGUUUCAUUCUAGGAAGACCCAGACUUACCAUCCAGCGCAUGUUUUGGGGCGAAUUAAAAUAAUGUGGAAUAUCUGGCUGGGAGGAAGCAAGAUCUAUUGCUAAAGACAGGGGGCGUUGGAGGGAUAUGCUGGAGGCCUUAAGUGCCCAAGGCACGUAGAGGAUAAGUUAUUUAUUUUCUGACUUGAGUCUGUGAAGAGUUUUAGACAGUGUAGAAGAUCCUUGCUGAAGCUUGUUGUAAGACAGAUGAAUGUCAUGCCAUGGAUUAUGGAUUUUUCUGUUCUUGAUGGAGGCUGGAGAGAUCUUGCAAAAUCAAAGUUUAGAUUAAAAAAAGACAGGCGGAUAGAUUUGAUCUGUGAAUCUGCUAUUGAAGCUAGUCGUUCAACAUUAUCAAGUUCCACAUCACACUUCAGGAUGCUUUUCGCUGAUAUUUCUUAGUAUAUGUAUGAAGCAAGAAGGAUGCCAAAAUCUUUUUUG
Parasteatoda tepidariorum (common house spider) is the source of this 621-nucleotide non-coding RNA. Lineage: Eukaryota; Metazoa; Arthropoda; Arachnida; Araneae; Theridiidae. The record is from RefSeq and is a predicted model, not a curated record.